This 920-nucleotide ribosomal RNA is filed under the name uncultured bacterium. RNAcentral describes it as "bacterial SSU rRNA". It matches the Rfam family "Bacterial small subunit ribosomal RNA", at positions 8 to 913 of the family's 1533-position model. The record is from RNAcentral.
AGAGUUUGAUCCUGGCUCAGGACGAACGCUGGCGGCGUGCUUAACACAUGCAAGUGGAGCGACGAACCAGGGCUUGCCCUGGGGCAGAGCCGCGAACGGGUGAGUAACACGUGGGUAACCUACCUCGAUGACCGGGACAACCCGAGGAAACUCGGGCUAAUACCGGAUGUGCUCGAUCCUUGUAAGGGGAUUGAGUAAAGAUAGCUUUCGCCUUCGCAUCGAGACGGGCCCGCGGCCCAUUAGCUUGUUGGUGAGGUAACGGCUCACCAAGGCGACGAUGGGUAGCUGGUCUGAGAGGACGAUCAGCCACACUGGGGCUGAGACACGGCCCAGACUCCUACGGGAGGCAGCAGUGGGGAAUCUUGCGCAAUGGGCGAAAGCCUGACGCAGCAACGCCGCGUGGGGGAAGAAGGCCUUCGGGUUGUAAACCCCUUUCAGUUGGGACGAAGCUUCCAGAGUUAAUAGCUUUGUGGAGUGACGGUACCUUCAGAAGAAGCCCCGGCUAACUACGUGCCAGCAGCCGCGGUAAUACGUAGGGGGCUAGCGUUGUCCGGAAUCAUUGGGCGUAAAGCGCGUGUAGGCGGUCCGGUAAGUCCGCUGUGAAAGUCGGGGGCUCAACCCUCGGAUGCCGGUGGAUACUGUCGGGCUUGAGUACGGAAGAGGCGAGUGGAAUUCCUGGUGUAGCGGUGAAAUGCGCAGAUAUCAGGAGGAACACCAAUUGCGAAGGCAGCUCGCUGGGACGUUACUGACGCUGAGACGCGAAAGCGUGGGGAGCAAACAGGAUUAGAUACCCUGGUAGUCCACGCUGUAAACGAUGGGCACUAGGUGUGGGGGGUGUCGACUCCCUCCGUGCCGAAGCUAACGCAUUAAGUGCCCCGCCUGGGGGAGUACGGCGCAAGGCUAAAACUCAAAGGAAUUGA